AUUGCCUACGGGAGGCAGCAGUGGGGAAUAUUGCACAAUGGGGGAAACCCUGAUGCAGCAACGCCGCGUGAGUGAUGACGGCCUUCGGGUUGUAAAGCUCUGUCUUCAGGGACGAUAAUGACGGUACCUGAGGAGGAAGCCACGGCUAACUACGUGCCAGCAGUCGCGGUAAUACGUAGGUGGCGAGCGUUGUCCGGAUUUACUGGUCGUAAAGGGAGCGUAGGCGGAUUUUUAAUUGAGAUGUGAAAUACUCGGGCUC
This 259-nucleotide ribosomal RNA is filed under the name uncultured bacterium. Its description in RNAcentral is "partial 16S ribosomal RNA". It matches the Rfam family "Bacterial small subunit ribosomal RNA", at positions 334 to 610 of the family's 1533-position model. The record is from RNAcentral.